ACGGGUCCAGGCGCACUGAGGGGCUUUCGUCCAAGCUUUCUGGACAGUUCAUUUGAAAGAUUGGUGGUGAACUUUAAGCGUGGCAAAUUAAAGGAGCACUGUGUGCGCGCUGGACAAGUGCCUUUCCCUCUAAGGAUCCAACCUUCAGAGCUCCACACAGUCAGACGUGUAGUAGGUGCUCCGAAGUGUGUUGCGCUAAUUAACAAACAAAAGAAGUACCAGGACUUGAAGUACAUUGGGCUAAAUAAAGACAUUGGCUAAAUGCAGUAGCUUGAAUAUAAUCCCCACUCCUGUGAGGACAGUCACUUAGAUGCCUGCCGUGCUCUCCAAACACCUGUCCUAGGGAGACUGGGAUUCAGAGAUGGACCUGAAGAGGAUCCACCCAUGAAGAGUUGGGUCAGAAAGGGGUCUGACCUGUAGAUCAAUAAGAGAGCGGAAGAUAGGAAGAGAUCUGAUAGUAAAAGGCCAUGGAUAUUGUGCCCUGAAAGUUUGGAAAUGAGAGAGUUCCAGUUUAUUGAGGGGACUAGGAGUGGCAAUCAGAAGUGGCUUCCUGGAGGAAGUGGCAUGUCGAGUUAUUUUGAAGUGACAGAAACGCUGACCUGGACUGGCCUCCACAAGGGGAAAUAUAUUGGCUGGAGCAUGGAUUCCUGGCCACCAGCCCCACCAGUGGCUGCUUCCCUCCAUAGCACCUUGCAGCUGGAUCUGCUGCGCUGUCCUUUUUGGGUGGCCUCACCUUCAGGCUGACAUGCGUCUGCCGUGUUCCCACACUGCCCUCCAUGAGCCCACACCCAGUCUCUCUCUUGAGAGCUAGAAGUAUCUUCCCUGACAAAUCUCCACGUGGCUCCCUGGCUACCCCCGAGCCAAACUGUGAGCAGGACUGUGGACUCAGCCGCCCACGGCAGUCCCUGGGCCAGGGUGUGCAGGGCCGGGGGAGUCCUACCUUGUGACCCGUCAGGCCCAUCCUGGAAAUGGGGGGAGUUGGCUGUUGCCUCUGAAGCCCUCGGGGAGGUGUGGGAGACUCAAUGAAA
Long non-coding RNA from Zalophus californianus (California sea lion), 1028 nucleotides. RefSeq lists it as uncharacterized. Lineage: Eukaryota; Metazoa; Chordata; Mammalia; Carnivora; Otariidae. The record is from RefSeq and is a predicted model, not a curated record. The transcript has 3 exons.